Rattus norvegicus (Norway rat) is the source of this 1409-nucleotide long non-coding RNA. RefSeq lists it as uncharacterized. The record is from RefSeq and is a predicted model, not a curated record. Lineage: Eukaryota; Metazoa; Chordata; Mammalia; Rodentia; Muridae.
CUUUCCUUUUUUAAACAUUUUGGUAAUAUAGACCAAGAUACUCUAUUCCUAAAAUAACAUGCCUGACUAUUAUCUAGCUUAUUGGAUUUUAAAAUAAAUGCGAGGGUACUAUUAAAGAUGCUGGUUAAAAGUAAGCUGAGCAAGCUGACACCUGCCUUUGAUCUCAGCAAAGGUAGAUUAGAGGCCAGCCUGGCCCAUAUAGGGAGCUCCAGUCUAGUGAGGCCUAGAGAGUAAGACCCUCCUCCAUCCCCAACCUUGCAAAUAUGAAUAUGCAAGGUUGUAAUACCUUUACAAGGAACUUAAUAAAUACAGAAGACGGCAGUUGGUACCAGUGUUCACUUUUCCAUGACUGAAUUGAAUCUUAGUCCUGCAGCCUCAGGACUUCUCAGUUUGCUUCCCCUACAUGGAACCAUUCUACCUCAGGAAAGAAGAAAAGCUUCCAGGGUUCCACGCCAAGGAAGAGCUGAUUCACACUUCCAUAAAUGGAGCUGAGAGAAGACGCCCCACAUCUCAACGCACUGAUCCAGGACUUUAGCCUAUGACAGGAAAACACCAGCAAAAUGGUUACAAAUGAAAAUGGGAUCAACUUAUGUGAGAACUAAGAAGUAAUUACAGGUCUGGCAAGAAGGCUUGGCAGGAAAAGGAGCUUGCUGCCAAGCCUGAGGACCUGAGUUCAAUCCCUGGAACGCACAUGAUGGAAGGAGAAACAGUCUCAUGCAAGCUGUCCCUUUACCUGCACAUAUAUGUAGUAGCAUGCACAUACAGCCCCUACAUAAGUGUUAUAAAAACUGCUUUAAAAGUAUGAGUAAUACAGUUACAAAAGUAAAACUAAGUGUUUUAUAGGCUCUCCUGUGUGAACUCUGUUAGUAUUUCCUUUUGGUUCCCAGCCAAGAUCUCUGGGAAGAGGUUCCCAUUACUAAUUACUCACUGCAAACUCUCGUGUUUUUACUGAGGACAGACAAUUAAAACUGAGACUGUUUAUUAGCCCAGAGUUUGGGCGGAAGUUAUGGAGUCCUAAUUCUAUAUUACUCACAAGAAAGGAGUGUGAUUAGCUUACUUAGUCAUGACACAAGAAACUGGCCUUUCCUGAAAACCGGGGAGGCAGGUAGCACAGACAGGCAGCUGUAGAAAUGUCAGAUCCAGGCAACAUCUCAAUUUGUGUCUAUUAUAUCAAGGAACAAGUGAUUUAAUAAGUCUGUGUUAAACAAUGGAAUGCAAAAUUCCAAUAGGACAAGAUACUUAAUGAGAAGCAUUCUGACAUAGGAGAGUCUCCAUCUCUUUUGAGACUACCAGCUAAUUCUCCCUGCCUGGAAAAGAGGUAAAACCCAGCACAGCCUCAGCACCACCCACUGUCCCUAACUUUCUAUUAAAGCAAAAUAUUUCUGUUUUUCAAUAAAAAACAUGUAAAG